UGUGAAGCGACACCCCUGCAGGUGGGGAUCUGGGGGCUUGAACCAGGUUCCUUAAGCGGGUCUUUGCGCUUCGCGCCAGGUGUGCUUAACCCACUGUGCUACCGUCCGACUCCCUCUCUUUCUUUUUUUUUAAAAAAAUAUUUAUUUUAUUUAUUUAUUCCCUUUUUGUUGCCCUUGUUGUUUUAUUGUUGUAGUUAUUAUUGUUGUUGUCGUUGUUGGAUAGGACAGAGAGAAAUGGAGAGAGGAGGGGAGGACAGAGAGGAGGAGAGAAAGAUAGACCUGCUUCACCGCCUGUGAAGAGACUCCCCUGCAGGUGGGGAGCCGGGGUUCAAACCGGGAUCCUUAUGCCGGUCCUUGUGCUUUGCG
Molecule: long non-coding RNA, 366 nt
Organism: Erinaceus europaeus (western European hedgehog)
Lineage: Eukaryota; Metazoa; Chordata; Mammalia; Eulipotyphla; Erinaceidae
Exons: 2
Source: RefSeq, a predicted model, not a curated record